CGAUUGAAUGGCUCGGUGAGGCCUUCGGACUGGCCCAGGGAGGUCGGCAACGACCACCCAGGGCCGGAAAGUUGGUCAAACCCGGUCAUUUAGAGGAAGUAAAAGUCGUAACAAGGUCUCCGUAGGUGAACCUGCGGAGGGAUCAUUACAAGUGACCCCGGUCUAACCACCGGGAUGUUCAUAACCCUUUGUUGUCCGACUCUGUUGCCUCCGGGGCGACCCUGCUUCGGGCGGGGGCUCCGGGUGGACACUUCAAACUCUUCGUAACUUUGCAGUCUGAGUAAACUUAAUUAAUAAAUUAAAACUUUUAACAACGGAUCUCUUGGUUCUGGCAUCGAUGAAGAACGCAGCGAAAUGCGAUAAGUAAUGUGAAUUGCAGAAUUCAGUGAAUCAUCGAAUCUUUGAACGCACAUUGCGCCCCCUGGUAUUCCGGGGGGCAUGCCUGUUCGAGCGUCAUUUCACCACUCAAGCCUCGCUUGGUAUUGGGCAACGCGGUCCGCCGCGUGCCUCAAAUCGACCGGCUGGUCUUCUGUCCCCUAAGCGUUGUGGAAACUAUUCGCUAAAGGGUGCUCGGGAGGCUACGCCGUAAAACAAACCCAUUUCUAAGGUUGACCUCGGAUCAGGUAGGGAUACCCGCUGAACUUAAGCAUAUCAAUAAGCGGAGGAAAAGAAACCAACAGGGAUUGCUCUAGUAACGGCGAGUGAAGCAGCAAUAGCUCAAAUUUGAAAUCUGGCGUCUUCGACGU
RNAcentral lists this ribosomal RNA (746 nucleotides) under Cladosporium tenuissimum. RNAcentral's name for it is "partial 18S ribosomal RNA". The stretch from base 303 to 456 matches the Rfam family "5.8S ribosomal RNA". Lineage: Eukaryota; Fungi; Ascomycota; Dothideomycetes; Cladosporiales; Cladosporiaceae. The record is from RNAcentral.